RNAcentral lists this ribosomal RNA (479 nucleotides) under uncultured bacterium. Its description in RNAcentral is "partial 16S ribosomal RNA". It matches the Rfam family "Bacterial small subunit ribosomal RNA", at positions 28 to 507 of the family's 1533-position model. The record is from RNAcentral.
GAUGAACGCUGGCGGCGUGCUUAACACAUGCAAGUCGAACGAAUCACUUAAGAUUGAUUCUUCGGAUGACGUCUUUUGUGUCUUAGUUGCGUACGGGUGAGUAACGCGUUGGUAACCUGCCUCACACAGCGGGAUAACAGUUAGAAUUCACUGCUAAUACCGCAUAACCCGAUCGGCUCACAUCAUCCAGACAGAAAAGAUUUAUGGGUGUGAGAUGGGCCCGCGUCUGAUUACCUAGUUGGUGAGGGAACCGCCCACCAAGGCGACGAUCAGUAACCGGACUGAGAGGGUGAACGGCCACAUUGGGACUAAGACACGGCCGAAAAUACUACGGGAGGCAGCAGUGGGGAAUAUUGCACAAUAGGGGAAAUCCUGAUGCAGCGAGGCCGAGUAAGUGAAGAAGGAUGUCGGUAUGUAAAGCUCUAUAAGAAGGGAAGAAAAUGACGUUACCAAAAUAAGAAGCCCCGGCUAACUACGUG